UGAACCAUGCAUUAGUCUUUGGACAGGGC
RNAcentral lists this non-coding RNA (29 nucleotides) under Homo sapiens (human). Lineage: Eukaryota; Metazoa; Chordata; Mammalia; Primates; Hominidae. The record is from RNAcentral.